This 519-nucleotide ribosomal RNA is filed under the name Klebsiella aerogenes. Its description in RNAcentral is "bacterial SSU rRNA". It matches the Rfam family "Bacterial small subunit ribosomal RNA", at positions 70 to 583 of the family's 1533-position model. The record is from RNAcentral. Lineage: Bacteria; Pseudomonadati; Pseudomonadota; Gammaproteobacteria; Enterobacterales; Enterobacteriaceae.
CACAGAGAGCUUGCUCUCGGGUGACGAGCGGCGGACGGGUGAGUAAUGUCUGGGAAACUGCCUGAUGGAGGGGGAUAACUACUGGAAACGGUAGCUAAUWCCGCAUAACGUCGCAAGACCAAAGUGGGGGACCUUCGGGCCUCAUGCCAUCAGAUGUGCCCAGAUGGRAKWAGRCUAGUAGGUGGGGUAAUGGCUCACCUAGGCGACGAUCCCUAGCUGGUCUGAGAGGAUGACCAGCCACACUGGAACUGAGACACGGUCCAGACUCCUACGGGAGGCAGCAGUGGGGAAUAUUGCACAAUGGGCGCAAGCCUGAUGCAGCCAUGCCGCGUGUAUGAAGAAGGCCUUCGGGUUGUAAAGUACUUUCAGCGAGGAGGAAGGCGUUAAGGUUAAUAACCUURGCGAUUGACGUUACUCGCAGAAGAAGCACCGGCUAACUCCGUGCCAGCAGCCGCGGUAAUACGGAGGGUGCAAGCGUUAAUCGGAAUUACUGGGCGUAAGCGCACGCAGGCGGUCUGU